UCUAAUAAGGAGGGCACCUAAGAAUCAGCUGAUAACCUCAGAGACUAAGGAGACUCCCCCCUCGAUCUGGUUCUUGAUCUCACCAUCAACACCAGAUAACAGAACCCCCAUUUUGGCCAACCUAGAGCACCUUAAUUCUUUCCUUUUCCAGGAGCGAACAAAUGGCGAAAGAGAGUCCCUCCAAAAAUUAAUCAGCGUCGUUACUCCUCUCCCCCACCUUCAUCAUCUUCUUUCCAUCUAAUUAAAAAAAAAGAAACACAUACAAGAGAAAUGGACAGAUUCAAAAGAAAAAUGAAUGAAAAAAACAGAAAAUAAAGGAUUUGAAGGCUAUUCGAAUUUCUGCUCUUUUGCUUUAGUUUCUUUUUGGAAUUUUGAGUGACAUUUAGAUUGAAGAAGUUUUGUUUGGUCGCUGGAACUAUCGUUGAUGUUCUGCUGAGUCCGCGUAGCUGAGCUUUCUAGUUUCUUCUUCACCUUUGUUUGAUUCUACUUUGCCUGUUUCGCUACUAUCCAGUGAGGCCGGCGCUACUCGUCGCAUUGACACUGUGGGUUGGAGCAUGAAAGAAAAUGGAGUCAUGGUCAAUCUCAAAAGAACCACAGGACUAAAUAUUGAUAAUGUAAAGAUAUUGAGUGUUAUUUAAUUAACUAUAAAAAGUUAUUAAAUGUA
Non-coding RNA from Nicotiana tabacum (common tobacco), 664 nucleotides. The record is from RefSeq and is a predicted model, not a curated record. Lineage: Eukaryota; Viridiplantae; Streptophyta; Magnoliopsida; Solanales; Solanaceae.